GACGAACGCUGGCGGCGUGCUUAACACAUGCAAGUCGAACGGAAAGGCCCUGCUUUUGUGGGGUGCUCGAGUGGCGAACGGGUGAGUAACACGUGAGUAACCUGCCCUUGACUUUGGGAUAACUUCAGGAAACUGGGGCUAAUACCGGAUAGGAGCUCCUGCUGCAUGGUGGGGGUUGGAAAGUUUCGGCGGUUGGGGAUGGACUCGCGGCUUAUCAGCUUGUUGGUGGGGUAGUGGCUUACCAAGGCUUUGACGGGUAGCCGGCCUGAGAGGGUGACCGGGCACAUUGGGAAUGAGAUACGGCCCCGAAUCCUACGGGGGGGAGGAGUGGGGGAUAUUGCAAAAAGGGGGGAAGCCUGAUGCAGCAACGCCGCGUGCGGGAUGACGGCCCUCGGGUUGUAAACCGCUUUCGCCUGUGAAGAAGGGGGAGGGACGGUAAUGGGUAAAGAAGCACCGGCUAAAUACGGG
RNAcentral lists this ribosomal RNA (468 nucleotides) under uncultured bacterium. Its description in RNAcentral is "partial 16S ribosomal RNA". It matches the Rfam family "Bacterial small subunit ribosomal RNA", at positions 28 to 507 of the family's 1533-position model. The record is from RNAcentral.